Molecule: ribosomal RNA, 439 nt
Filed under: uncultured Clostridiaceae bacterium
Lineage: Bacteria; Bacillati; Bacillota; Clostridia; Eubacteriales; Clostridiaceae
Description: bacterial SSU rRNA
Rfam family: Bacterial small subunit ribosomal RNA
Source: RNAcentral
CCUACGGGGGGCAGCAGUGGGGAAUUUUGCACAAUGGGCGAAAGCCUGAUGCAGCGACGCCGCGUGAGCGAAGAAGGUCUUCGGAUCGUAAAGCUCUGUUUUAAGGGAAGAUAAUGACGGUACCUUAAGAGAAAGCCCCGGCUAACUACGUGCCAGCAGCCGCGGUAAUACGUAGGGGGCAAGCGUUAUCCGGAAUCACUGGGCGUAAAGGGUGCGUAGGCGGCCAUUAAAGUCAGAGGUGAAAUCCCAGGGCUCAACCCUGGUAAGCCUUUGAAACUUAAUGGCUUGAGUACAGGAGAGGAGAGUAGAAUUCCUAGUGUAGCGGUGAAAUGCGUAGAUAUUAGGAGGAAUACCAGUGGCGAAGGCGACUCUCUGGACUGUAACUGACGCUGAGGCACGAAAGCGUGGGUAGCGAACAGGAUUAGAUACCCUGGUAGUC